GAUGAACGCUGGCGGCGUGCCUAAUACAUGCAAGUCGAGCGAACAGAUGAGGAGCUUGCUCCUCUGACGUUAGCGGCGGACGGGUGAGUAACACGUGGAUAACCUACCUAUAAGACUGGAUAACUUCGGGAAACCGGAGCUAAUACCGGAUAAUAUAUUGAACCGCAUGGUUCAAUAGUGAAAGACGGUUUUGCUGUCACUUAUAGAUGGAUCCGCGCCGCAUUAGCUAGUUGGUAAGGUAACGGCUUACCAAGGCAACGAUGCGUAGCCGGCCUGAGAGGGUGAUCCGGCCCACUUGAACUGAGAAACGGUCCCGACCCCUAAGGGAGGGAGCAGUGGGGAAUAUUGCCCAAUGGGGGGAAGCCUGAACGGGGAAAGGCGCGUGGGUGAAUAAGGUCUUUGGAUUGUAAAACCCUUUUAAUUGGGAAGAAAAAAAGGUGGAAAAAACUUUGCCGUUUUUACGGGACCAAAAGAAGAAACCCCGGCUAACUUCGUG
This 496-nucleotide ribosomal RNA is filed under the name uncultured bacterium. Its description in RNAcentral is "partial 16S ribosomal RNA". It matches the Rfam family "Bacterial small subunit ribosomal RNA", at positions 28 to 507 of the family's 1533-position model. The record is from RNAcentral.